Molecule: non-coding RNA, 325 nt
Organism: Chiloscyllium plagiosum (whitespotted bambooshark)
Lineage: Eukaryota; Metazoa; Chordata; Chondrichthyes; Orectolobiformes; Hemiscylliidae
Source: RefSeq, a predicted model, not a curated record
CCUCAAUGGAGUUAUUUCAGUGGUGACAAGAGAAAACAGUACACUCCUAAAGUAAAUUUACUUGCAACGGUCAUCUUUGAGUAGGGUGGGAUCCUUCUUCGCAUCAAAUAGAGACGUCAGAAUAUUAUCUUCUGAGAGCUCAAUGAAUUCUAUCUGAAAGUCAUCAGGUGCUUUGAAGCUAUAAACCAGCUUGGUAUGCCACCACUUCAGACCUAAGGGGAGGAGUGCCAAUGGGGCUUGCAAGGAGAAAGCCCAGGUUCUACAUUAUAUAUUGGAGAGGAUUAUGGACCUGAACAGAACAAUAAAAAGCAGCCUAUAGCACAAU